This 3968-nucleotide long non-coding RNA is filed under the name Malus domestica (apple). RNAcentral describes it as "long non-coding RNA (MDOM_LNC009681)". Lineage: Eukaryota; Viridiplantae; Streptophyta; Magnoliopsida; Rosales; Rosaceae. The record is from RNAcentral.
GAGGGCACCCACUUUCUGUUUACUCGGACGCUGUUCGAUCUUUUCUUUAAACAGUUGACCGGGUCCACUUUUUAUAGCGUGCUUGCCUCUCCGCCUUUGUUCCUAAUUUAGUAUUCCAAAGGAGAGAUCGGAUUUUAUUUUUCGAAAAGUAACGAUAGGAAAAUUAUCGAUUUAAAUUAUAUUUUGUAAAUUAAAUAAUGUGGUUGUUAAUAAUUAAAUUAUUAUUUCGAUGUUAAUUUAUUGGUUUAUUUUUUAUUUGUGACACAUCGUAUGAUUUGCAAAUAUAAUUUAAAAUUUUGAUUAUUACUCUUUAAAAAAAAUUAAAUAACAAAAUCUUCUCUAUUAGCGAAUCAAGUUAAGCAGCAUGUAGGGUGAUAAAUAAUGGACAACCACCACCAUUUUCUUGAUGGAAACUUAAUUGAACUUGGUUUUGCAAUAUCUGUUUUUCAAAGUUGCUAUUAAAAAAUUCACCAAACAAAUUUAAUCGAUUUAAGAAGUGUCACAUACUUUCGAUAGAGUGAUUUGACAAAGAAGUUUGAUUGUUUAUUUAAAAUUUUGGAAUACACGUAUAGUUCAGAUCUCUUUGAACCAAGUUUCUUAUUGUGUGUAUUUAGAAAAAAUGUUUCAUACCUCGGCCAAAUUACUCUAGUUUACAUUAGAUAAUUGAGCCAGACGUAUAAGUGCAAAGGCUAAGUUAACAAUACAUUCGGUGUUUUAUGUAUUAAAAUUAAAAUGAUAAUAAAAAAAUAUAAACAAAUUUGAACCUAUAACCUCUAACUAAUGUUUGUAUCCAAGGACCUUGCCAAAUUGUUAAAUUGGUGCCAUUAUGAUUACUCACAAUAAUUUGUGGAAGAAACUUCCAUAAAAUAAUGAGAAAGAAAAAUAUUUUAGUCCCCAAAACAUAAAAAUAAAUCUCUAUUUAAAGUCAUCUUAUAAUUAAUUAAUCUCUUGUAGGUUGGAUUUUUUGAACGAAUAAUACCUAGGUACUCAUUUUAGAUUUGAUGCAAUGAUAUCUUAAAUGUUUUAUUAUUUUAAAAUAUAGUGUAUAUGUUAUUUAAUUUUUCUUAAACUUUAAAAAAUUAAAGAAAUACGCAUCAUCUUUUAAUUAGGCUAAUGUUAUCUUUCUAAACGGGCUAUUUGGUAGGUAGUUUGUGAUAUUUGUAUUUACGUUGUAAUCAUUGUUAAUAAUAAAAGUGGUUGGAAAUUAGGUCAUCUUGGGUCAUUAUUUGAUCGUUUGUUGGUCACCAAAACAAGAAAAUGAAAUCAACAACACUUGUUGAUCAUCGUACAUGCCUCAGUUAAGCUGACGUUGUCCAUCCUUUUAUUUGGUGCAGAAGGCCGGCCAUCGGGGAGCCAGAGUAGGCGGACCGUCUAAGGUCAUCUCCAACCGAAGGGUCCAGAGGGCCAGAGGGCCGAAAAUAGCCCUAAAACCGUCUCCAACCGAGGGCUAGGCCAGAGGGCUCUGGAAUCUGGGAGGGCCCCACGGGAUCGGAGAGGGCUGGAGGGCUGGAGGGCUGGCUUAUUUUUUUUUUAAUGUUUUCUAUUGCUGUCGGUUAAAACCGACAGCAUUAAACUGGUUUUAUUUAUUUUUUAAUAGUUCUACUAUUAGUGUCGGUUAUAGCCGACACUAAUAGUUUGAAUGUUUUUUAAUACAACGGCUAGUAGCCGUUGUAUUAUUAGGCCUUCUUUUAUUUUUUAAACUUUUUUUUUCCCUUUUUUUUCCUUUUCAUAUUAAUCAAAUUUUGUUUCAUAUUUUUUUUCAAUUCUAUUUUACAAAAUUUGUUUUCAAUUUUUUUUUUAAAUUCUAUUUUUUUCCUAUAACUUCUAUUUUACAAAAUUUGAUUCAUAUUUUAUUUCCUAUAACUUCUAUUUCACAAAAUUUGUUUCAUAAUUUUUUUCAAUUCUAUUUUUUUCCUAGGCCAUUUAUACAACAUUAAAUUAAAUUAAGUAACAUGAAACAACAUUAAACAAUAUGAAAUAACAUUAAAUAACAUUAACCAACAUACAAAUUAAUAUUAUACAACAUAAAAAAACAUUUAACAACAUGAAACUUAAACAACAUUUUUAAAAAACAUUUAAUUUAACAACAUAAAACUUAAAAGCCUACUCCAUGCUUCUUUUGGCCCAAAGAUGUGCAACAAGAUCCUGUUGUAGGUACAUAUUUAUGGCACGAGAACGUAUCAUUCUAUAGCGCCUCAUAUACUCAUUUAUAGAGAUAUUACCAGUUCUUGGAUUGAAAGGCAAAUUAGGCCCAUCAUAUAUUUUUGCUAGAGCCCUUCUUGACCUAUUUGGAUCUUCUUGGUCAUCAUCGGACUCUCCAUCAAUAUACCCAUCUCGCUCAUCCUCCACUAUCAUAUUGUGUAAUAUGAUGCAAGACAUCAUGAUGGAGUUCAAAUUUUCUCGACUCCACCCUCUUGCCGAUUCGCUGAUAAUCUUCCACCGUGCUUGUAGAAUACCGAAAGCUCUCUCAACAUCUUUCCGGUAUGCCUCUUGGUGUAAGGUAAACAACUUUUCUGCAUCAUUCCUAGGGUUUGGAAUUGCUUGGACAAGUGUUGCCCACUUUGGGUAGAUGCCAUCUGCCAAGUAAUACCCCAUAUUGUAUUCACGGCCGUUGAUGUAGUAGUCAAGUUGAGGUGCUUUACCUUCCGUCAAGUUAUUGAAGAGGGGUGAACGCCCAAGAACUGUAAUGUCAUUUUGGGAUCCAGGGACUCCAAAGAAAGCAUGCCAGAUCCAUGUGUCAUAUGAGACAACUGCCUCUAACACAACAGUUGGCUUUCUCGACCUUCCGCUAAAGCUUCAUUGCCAUCCAGUGGGACAGUUCUUCCACUCCCAAUGCAUGCAGUCUAAUGACCCUAUCAUGCCCAGAAACCCACGGUCUUCAGCUUUGUGAAGGAGUCGAUUCAGAUCUUCUUGAUUUGGCUCUCGGAGGUACUCGUCUUUGUAAACCUGAACAAUUGUGUUACAAAAUUCUUCAAGAGUAUCAAGGCAUGUAGACUCAGACAUACCAUGGGUUUCAUCCAUCGAAUCAGCUGAGGAGCCAUAUGCCAUCAUUCGGAGUGCAACAGUAACCUUCUGAUGAGGUGAGAAACCAGGGCGGCCUGCUCUGUCCCGCUUCUGUCGAAAGUAUGGAUUGACCUGCUGGACAUCACGAAGUAAACGCUCGAAGACAUGACUCCUCAUCCAGAAGCGACGUCUGAAAUCCUCUUCUGUGUACACCGAGUCGGGGUUGAAGUAGUUGUUCAUCAGAUUGGCAUGCGCCAUCGCUCUGUUUCGUGGUUUCUAAGAGCGACCAGCAACAGAGCCACCCCAUUGAGGUUGUUCCUCAGUUGGUUGACACACCAUGACCGCAGCCAUGGCUGCUGCCAUGUUUUGUGUGUUGUGUCUUACUUCAGCUUCUUCAUCAGACUCAUCAUCUUCUCGUCUCAUUUGCGCCCAUUUUGCUUCCAAUUUGGAAUUGGAUGAGGACCCCCAAUUGGAAUUGGAUGAAGAUCCAAAGUUGGAAUUCAUUGCAAACUUGAAUUGAAAGAGAUUGAAUUGCAAGAGAUUGAAUUGAAAUAGAUUGAAUUUAAAGUUGUGUGAAUUAUAGCCCAAUAUCCACCAUAUUUAUAGCAAAAAAAAUCAAAUCCAACGGCUAGCUGACGUCAGCAUGAUGUCAGCUACCAACGGCUAGCUGACAUCAUGUUGACGUCACCUAGCCGUUAGAUUUGAAUUUAAAUUGUAGUUUUUAAAUAAUAAAUUAUGUUUGGCCCUAUGGCCCUUUGGCCCUCGGUUGGAGACGGUUUUUUGUGACAGGGCUAAAACGAGCCAUCUGGCCCUCUGGCCCUCGGUUGGAGACGGAGGCAAAUAUGGCCCUGUACUGUUCAUUAAAAUAUUAAUAUCUUGGAGAAUCUUGGAGGGCCAGAGGGCUAAAACGAGCCCUCUGGCCAGCCAUCGGUUGGAGAUGGCCUAAGCCCCCUACUUUAAGGGAG